RNAcentral lists this ribosomal RNA (499 nucleotides) under uncultured bacterium. Its description in RNAcentral is "partial 16S ribosomal RNA". It matches the Rfam family "Bacterial small subunit ribosomal RNA", at positions 28 to 507 of the family's 1533-position model. The record is from RNAcentral.
GACGAACGCUGGCGGCGUGCCUAAUACAUGCAAGUCGAGCGAAGUUUUUCUGGUGCUUGCCCUAGAAAAACUUAGCGGCGAACGGGUGAGUAACACGUAAAGAACCUGCCUCAUAGACUGGGACAACUAUUGGAAACGAUAGCUAAUACCGGAUAACAGUAUUUCUCGCAUGAGAGAUAUUUAAAAGUUGGUUAUGCUAACACUAUGAGAUGGCUUUGCGGUGCAUUAGCUAGUUGGUGGGGUAAAGGCCCACCAAGGCGACGAUGCAUAGCCGACCUGAGAGGGUGAUCGGCCACACUGGGACUGAGACGCGGCCCAGACUCCUACGGGAGGCAGCAGUAGGGAAUCUUCCGCAAUGGGCGAAAGCCUGACGGAGCAACGCCGCGUGAGUGAAGAAGGAUUUCGGUUCGUAAAGCUCUGUUGUUAGGGAAGAAUGGAUAUGUAGUAACUAUACAUGUAAGAGACGGUACCUAACCAGAAAGCCACGGCUAACUACGUG